CAGUUUGGGACACUUUUGGAGAAAAGGGACAAAACUACCUGGGGGUGUGUGUAGGGGUGACACCCCCUGUCUCGAUCUCAUCGGGUAUACCCAUACAAUUUAGUCGGGCAAAUCUUGAAAAUAUUUGAGUGUCUCAGAUUGAAAAGUAAUAGUGGUAGGAAAAAGUGGUAGUGAAAAAUGCUCCCCGCUCACCAACAAUUUUGGGAAAAGAAAUAUUAAUUAGCAAAUGAUCAAAUACAGAAGUUUUGCCCCUGUUGGAGAGCCCCCCCUUGUCAACAUUCCAGGACUACACCACUAGUCGUAGCCAUACUGGUAUUGUUAGCAUAUAUAAUUUCAGCACAUCAUAUUGUAUGCUCUUACUGCAGUAGCAGACACUUUUGGUGGGAAGGCAUUCGGUUGCCACAACGUGAACACCUUAUGGUGCUCUAAAUCUCAGUCCUUUAAAUUUUACCUCAAAAUUCUGGCAAUUUAAAGCUUAUUUUAUUCCCAACCUAUGCUUUCAUGGAUGCUAUAUCAUCCAAAGGCUUUCAGAAAUGGGAGAGUGAUUUGUACCCUACACUGCUGUCCUGUUUAUUUUCUGUUAAGCCCCAAGCUGGCCAAGCAGCUUAUUUAUUUCAGGCAUGGAGUCUAGAAACUAUAGCUUGUAUCUCAAUUUGAGAGAGGAUGUGGAGGGUUUAAAUUAACAGUAGGUUUGUUAUAAAAUUA
Non-coding RNA from Paramuricea clavata, 705 nucleotides. Lineage: Eukaryota; Metazoa; Cnidaria; Anthozoa; Malacalcyonacea; Plexauridae. The record is from the annotation of a GenBank genome assembly.